AUGUUCCCGAGAGUUCCCUUGAACACUUCAUGAGGGCUUAAUUACUUCAUUUCUGAAGUCCUGCUAAAGUGUUUGGGGAAACUCCUGGGAUCAC
This 94-nucleotide microRNA precursor is filed under the name Solanum tuberosum (potato). Its description in RNAcentral is "mir-395 microRNA precursor family". It matches the Rfam family "mir-395 microRNA precursor family". From Rfam's summary of the family: mir-395 was identified in both Arabidopsis thaliana and Oryza sativa computationally and was later experimentally verified. mir-395 is thought to target mRNAs coding for ATP sulphurylases. The mature sequence is excised from the 3' arm of the hairpin. Lineage: Eukaryota; Viridiplantae; Streptophyta; Magnoliopsida; Solanales; Solanaceae. The record is from Rfam by way of RNAcentral.